RNAcentral lists this long non-coding RNA (3614 nucleotides) under Anas zonorhyncha (Eastern spot-billed duck). RNAcentral describes it as "lncRNA (ENSAZOG00000017750.1)". Lineage: Eukaryota; Metazoa; Chordata; Aves; Anseriformes; Anatidae. The record is from RNAcentral.
GGAGCUGGAGGCUGGGUGACAAUGAAUGCAGCAAGGUCAGCUCUCUGGAAAGUUUCAGGAGUGCUGCAAUGGCUGAAUGAUCUAUUGAUGAAGAAAGGAAAUAUAAAAUAUUGAAGAAGCAUUCUGUAUUUGUUUAAUUCCUGAGUCUGUUCAACCUGAAGAGAAGUUCCUUAGUUUAAAUAACUAAUGGCAAUACAGUGCAGAAGAAAGAAAAUAUAGGAAUAUGUAAUCUUUGUUGGAAACCUUCUUUGUAGGAGCUUUUCCAGAGAUUUUGUAUCUCUCUUCAAACUCUGAGUGUUAGGAAAGAUGUAAUGUAAUAUCAAACUUCAUUUUUUUCUCUUAUUCUACAGUUCCUUCUUUUAAAGCAUCUCUUCCAAGCUGAUAGCCUCCUAAAUUUCUAGACACAAUUGUAGUCUUUGUAGGAAAUUACUUAUCGUGAUGAUUGCGGCCUCACUGGCAUCAUUUCCAUUUGAAAUUCACCAGUAUUAAAGAAAUGAAUGACGCUAUCUUAAAAAAAAAAAAAAUGUUUUUUGGAGGCACAGGAGGUCUUGUCAGACAGCAUCAUCCAGCUAAAUCUUUAGGACAGUUUGACUCAUUUUUCUUUCCCUAAUAUGUGCAUCUCUGUACAAAUGAGGUCUUGCUUUCAGUGACUCAACCCUUAGUCUUUCAAAAUGGCCCAAUAAAGAAAGGGAAUGACUUUAUCUAAUUUUCUGAACAUUUUUGCUGUUAUCAUAUUAGUUGUUUCCAGGACAAUGGGCAGUUCAGAGCUUGCUAACAGCUCUUCCUACUGUCUUCCUACUGAUUCACAGGUAACACAAUGUGAAAAAGUUCUGGUCCCUUACCUCAGUUGGACCAGGUAUGGAGGAGUUUCUGGGACUAUUUGGCACUCACAUUCUUGUAAAUCCUUUUGAGAGAAAUAGAUAAGCACAGAUUCUCACCUCUUGUUCCUUCACUUACAAGCUACUUCUCUCAAAUGCUGGGGGGAAAACCCAUCCAUGCAGUUUUUGGAAGAGGGGCAACUUCCCAAGUGCAAGGUGGGCUUGCAGAAAGGAUCAGGCCCAGCCAGUCACAUUCUUUUCUUGCAGGGACACACGCUUCUGGAGUGGAAAGACUCCAGCCUUGCCCUCCCCUGCAGUAACCUCUUGUGGUUGAAUGCCUGCUGUUCAGUUUUGUCUUUGGGCCACAUGUCUCUAAGAAAGGUCUUAUCUCAGUCACUACCCUUGAAAAUCCACUAUUUCAUUUUUGAGCUGACCCUGGCGUUCCUGGUGCCAUGGUGGCACGUCUGCUGCUGCCCCUGUCCCUGGGGGGUGCCUACCCCAGCCUGCAGCUGGGACAGCGGCCCUGGAACCCCUGCUGAUGCCAUGGAGAGCCAAACCCAAGCACAAUGCAUGUCAGGCUCUGCGCAGCCUUUCCUGAAUCUCUCCCAGUUUCUCUAGGCUAGCUACUAAUACAACCCACCUGGCUUUCUCCCAUCCAAAAAAUGAAAAAAGAGGCAAGUUCCCAGAAAGAAAACAACAGGGAAGCAAGGAUAUUACACAGAGAAUGUAUCAGCUGUGUGAUUUUUAUGUAACAACAAUUUUAGGAGGUUUCAACUCAUUUUUGUAUCGUAGUAACAUCUUUUUGUGCUGCUGCAGCUACGACUGGGCUGCACUCUGAAAUGGAUCAGCAGGAGAUCCAAAAAAAAAAAAAAAAGCCUUUAAUCAGGUCCAAAAGCAUUGGUCUCAUUCUGAUUCCUGCAACUAGUUUGCAGCUCCAUAGAGAGAGGUCUAGGCCCAAGCUGGAAGGUGGGAAAAUGUAGCUGGGAGGUGGCCAACAGCUCCUCAAGCCGCUGGUCCUCCAAGGGACCGCAGUGAGGAGCCAGUCCCACACACACCCUCCUGUGGAGGCAAGUGCAAAGGGUGUGUGUGCAGGCAUCCUGCUGGAUUUGCCCCAGUAGCAGACUCUUUUUGGUGCUCAGUUGCAAAGCACCACAAUGAACAAUGCUGUCACCAGGCUUGCAGCUUAUCAAGGAGGGCAGCUGGAUCACAGAGUCACAGACAGCUGCUUUGGGAAGGGACUCAGCCUGCUAACAGUGCCUGUACUGCCAUAUGACGUUCUGCAAGAGUGAGUUUUGCCUUAUAAAGUGUGUGGUGCCUCUAUCCCUAAAUUCCUGGCUUUUGAAAGAGAGGUAGAAGCUUGCAGAUCAUUCAGGAAUGUGAAUGGAGCAACUAAUGUUUAAAGGAAGUAGUAGGUGUAUAUUUUGAUCUUGAACUGCAGCAACGUUAGUGAGUACAGAUGGGGAUGUGGCAAUAAUGUUAAGGGAAGUAUUGGUCAGUUUUGCGUUUCUUGUGGCUAUUGUUGAAUGAAAUGCAGCUGAAAAGAGAGAAGAGAUUGCAUGCAAUGUUUCUUUUUAUUUUAUUUUUUGGUAAUGUGAAUGCAAGCUAAUCCCAACAGGACUAGUCAUUGAUGUUUCAAAAAACUACCCCUGGAAACACAGAUAUUUCAAGAAAUGUUUAAAACAACAACAAACAAAGAGUAAGAGCCAUUCAAAGAGACUGGGAAUGUUAUAAGGACAAAAGUAUCCCAGUGGGAAGUGUCUGAAUUAGAAGAGAUGUAAGAGGAUGCUGUGAAGUAGAUGAUUGCUCGUUGGGCGAAGGAAAGAAUCAACGCAUCAGGGUGAGCUUCUCCCAGAGCGAAUGUCCAUAUAUCCAGGACAAGGCAGUUUUCUAUCUCACUGUUCCUCUUCCGUGACUUUCCUCCCUGAAAGAUGUACUCCCUGCACAGGACUGUCUCCUCCGAAGUCAUUGAUUCUUUCAGCUCUUAGCUCUGUAAAAAGACCCUUGUGGGUUAGCAGCACAUAAACUCAGUAACCAUAGUCUGCUUUGAGAGACUGUCAAUAUAGAAGGCUCCAUCAGUUCUCUGUUUGUUUACAUUGGUAUGUAUUCCAAAUUGCUGUCUCUAAUACCUGGGCCAGACUUGGAACUAAUUUACUGAACAUACCUGGUGUUUCACUUCCUGAAAGGGUCGAAUUAAAGUGGUGUUAAAGUAACAAACGUACUCAAAGAGCUUUAGCACAAAAUGUUAUGAAGAUUUGCAUUAGUUCCAGGCAUUAGAGCUGAAUAUUUUAGAUGUUUCAUAGUAUGCACUGGGUUCCUUUUAGUUACCUUUGUAAAAUCCAGUCCAUGCUAUGGAGGUAAUGCAGCAUUUGGAUUGCAAGGGCACGUAGUACAACACCAAGCAUCAGUUCACCACGGAUAUUUUUACACGAUAUCAGUCUGUACAGUAUGUCAGUCUUCUCUAGGGCAAAGCUGAGCCAGCAUAUCAGAAAGAAUGUAUUUUUGGCUCCUUCCUCAAGUGUAAGCAUCCUGGCUAAUCCCACAUAGGUCAUCUGAUCAUCCCUUUUUAUUCUUCCCACAAUAUGGGAUAAAGAUUUCACUACUUCCCAGGAAAGCUGUGAGAAUAAAAACUCAAAUGCUACUUCAGGAAGAUUUUAUGAAGUACCUUGGCAGAUAGUCAGUCUGCACCCAGCACCUUUCUUUCACGUUUUUCCUCACAGAGAGGAAUUCAAAAGACAUUGAAAAUGUGUGGUGUCUGUUCACCUCCCAGUAAUUCAUUCCACUGAAAGAAAGAAUAGC